UCUAAUAUGGCAGAAUAAUUAUGCAAUGAACUUAAAAUUCAUUUAUAAAGAACAAUCUUUUUUUAGAA
Molecule: transfer RNA, 68 nt
Filed under: Rhopalosiphum nymphaeae (water lily aphid)
Lineage: Eukaryota; Metazoa; Arthropoda; Insecta; Hemiptera; Aphididae
Description: tRNA-Leu
Rfam family: tRNA
About the family: Transfer RNA (tRNA) molecules are approximately 80 nucleotides in length. Their secondary structure includes four short double-helical elements and three loops (D, anti-codon, and T loops).
Source: RNAcentral